This 478-nucleotide ribosomal RNA is filed under the name uncultured bacterium. RNAcentral's name for it is "partial 16S ribosomal RNA". It matches the Rfam family "Bacterial small subunit ribosomal RNA", at positions 28 to 523 of the family's 1533-position model. The record is from RNAcentral.
GACGAACGCUGGCGGCGUGCUUAACACAUGCAAGUCGAACGGUAAGGCCCUUCGGGGUACACGAGUGGCGAACGGGUGAGCAACACGUGGGUGAUCUGCCCUGCACUUCGGGAUAAGCCUGGGAAACUGGGUCUAACACCGGAUCGGACUCCUGGCUUCAUGGUUGGGGGUGGAAAGCUUUUGCGGUGUGGGAUGGGCCCGCGGCCUAUCAGCUUGUUGGUGGGGUAAUGGCCUACCAAGGCGACGACGGGUAGCCGGGCUGAGGGGGUGACCGGUCACACUGGGACUGAGAUACGGCCCAGACUGGUACGGGAGGCAGCAGUGGGGAAUAUUGCACAAUGGGCGCAAGCCUGAUGCAGCGACGCCGCGUGAGGGAUGACGGCCUUCGGGUUGUAAACCUCUUUCAGCUAUGACGAAGCGCAAGUGACGGUAGUAGCAGAAGAAGGACCGGCCAACUACGUGCCAGCCGCCGCGGUAA